UACAGAGGUCUCAAGCGUUGUUCGGAUUCAUUGGGCGUAAAGGGUGCGUAGGCGGCGCGGUAAGUCGGGUGUGAAAUCUCGGAGCUUAACUCCGAAACUGCAUUCGAUACUGCCGUGCUUGAGGACUGGAGAGGAGACCGGAAUUUACGGUGUAGCGGUGAAAUGCGUAGAUAUCAAGAGGAACACCUGCGGCGAAGGCGGGUUGCUGGGCCGACACUGACGCUGAGGCGCGAAAGCGUGGGGAGCGAACAGG
RNAcentral lists this ribosomal RNA (253 nucleotides) under uncultured bacterium. Its description in RNAcentral is "partial 16S ribosomal RNA". It matches the Rfam family "Bacterial small subunit ribosomal RNA", at positions 524 to 776 of the family's 1533-position model. The record is from RNAcentral.